CAAUCCUAAUCCUCCGGUCAUUUUUCCUAUGAAAAUUGAAUAUGGCAUUUGUAUUGAUCUAUCAAUUCAAUUCUUGCACACUAAAAGGAAUCAUUUGAAUCAGCAUCAACCUUUCUUUCUUGCCUCUUCAUGUAUUUUCAUUAGUAAUGAAGAAACGUAAUUUGUCACAAAGCCUAUGGUAUUCCCAAGGAAACAAAAAGGCUCUCAGUAUUGAACCAACUAUGAGAUUCUUACAGAGCUUGGUUUAUUAGUUGUAAUAUUUCUUCUCGGGCUUGAUAUUGCAGUAGUUGACCAUUUCUUUCCUUUAAGAUUAUUAUCAGUAGUGUCCUUGGACUUCCUCGUGUUCGGAGGACUUUCAUCAACUGCUUGACUUGGGGCAACCUUACAUUGUGCAUGUCUACUUUGUAUAGAAUGAUGAUUCUUCAAAGCUGAAGGUCUUACUGCUUUGACUCUGUUUUUAUUUCCGAUCACUGCAUCAUUGUCAGGACUAGAUAAGACAGCACGUGGACGAGGGACUGAACCAGCUCUAAUAUUUGGUCUAUCCUCCUCAUCAAAAUGGCUUUUCUUGUCUUCUUCUUCAGAAGCAGACUCUGUUUGCAGGAGUAAGUUUGGUACAUAAGGCUUGGAAAUUCUUGCAAUGGGUGGCAUAGAAACAUCUCGGUACUCCUUCACUGAAAAUGAUAAAUGUCAUUAGGGAAUAUGAUCAAACUCCAAAAAAUCAAACUAACACCAAAUUGUGGAAAGGAAAAUGAUAUUCACUGAUUUCAUGUUCUAUAGUUCCUCUCCUCGGUAAAUAAGAAAGCAGCUCACUAGUUAAAUGAUUUUCCACCUCUUCUUUAUUUCAUGUUCUGUCAAAACCUAGCUAGACCUUAUCUAUCAUCACCCCAAACAUGCGGCUCCCACUUGUCUUAGUUCCACAAUGAACAACCUAGACAAGAAUUUUCGGUUCUAUCAAUUUAUUCAUCACCCAGCAAAGGAUCAUUUCUGUUGAAUACUCCUCAUCAAACAAUGAUAACAGCCCCCUCUCCCUAUUCCUCCCCAACUCUCUUCUCGCCCCCCAAAACCACGAGGAUUUCUGGCAGUUCUAAAGAGCAAAUACCAUUUUCACAAUACCAAAAGGAAGAAUCUUAGUCUAACAUUAAACAGGAAACAAAGGCUGAUAGAACCAUCAUUUUCAUCAAAACAGAUUAGGGGAUCAUAUGAUUUGAACAACAAAGUCUUAGCAGAUAAAUAUCAAUGAUAAUAGAAUUAAACAGCAUAGUUUAAUUAUGCCAAAACCGCUAUAAAAAAAGGCAUAUAUUUAAUAGCAAAUAAAUAUAAAUCCAGGAAAAAAUGAAAAUAAAGAAAGACUGAUAUAGAAUAGACAAGAGCAAGAAGUGCCUGGAAAACAAGAAUCCUGUAGUAAGAGAAACUGAAUAUCCUUGAAAGAAAGCAAAGAAUUCCAAUUCUUUUCAUGCCCAACAAGUUGACCAUCUUGGCCUUCUGUUCUAACCUUAACUUUUGGAUACAUUCUGUAUUGAACAGAGAUUAUCCUGCCGGUAAUGAAGCUGAGCUAUAGUAUGAAGUUUGCAAUGGGUUCUUAUGAUACGAAUUUGAUAUCAAGUAUCACAGGUAAGCAAGAAGGAAACAGAAGGAGGGAAAGAAAAGAAUGCUGUAACGGGGAUAUUCCCCAGAAAGCUUUUGUGCGCGGAUUUUGGUUCUAAAGUUUUGGAAGAGAUUGCUUAUGCCUUAUUGUUUGAAAGGAUGAAAGAAAUCAUCAUUUGGUCAAACACUGAAUUAAUGCAUAUGUAUGGCAAAUGGCAAGAGCAGCGGCUUGGCC
RNAcentral lists this unclassified non-coding RNA (1819 nucleotides) under Hevea brasiliensis (rubber tree). Lineage: Eukaryota; Viridiplantae; Streptophyta; Magnoliopsida; Malpighiales; Euphorbiaceae. The record is from RNAcentral.